RNAcentral lists this ribosomal RNA (549 nucleotides) under uncultured bacterium. Its description in RNAcentral is "bacterial SSU rRNA". It matches the Rfam family "Bacterial small subunit ribosomal RNA", at positions 355 to 896 of the family's 1533-position model. The record is from RNAcentral.
UGGGGAAUUUUGGACAAUGGGCGCAAGCCUGAUCCAGCCAUGCCGCGUGUCUGAAGAAGGCCUUCGGGUUGUAAAGGACUUUUGUCAGGGAAGAAAAGGCUGUUGCUAAUAUCAGCGGCUGAUGACGGUACCUGAAGAAUAAGCACCGGCUAACUACGUGCCAGCAGCCGCGGUAAUACGUAGGGUGCGAGCGUUAAUCGGAAUUACUGGGCGUAAAGCGAGCGCAGACGGUUACUUAAGCAGGAUGUGAAAUCCCCGGGCUCAACCUGGGAACUGCGUUCUGAACUGGGUGACUAGAGUGUGUCAGAGGGAGGUAGAAUUCCACGUGUAGCAGUGAAAUGCGUAGAGAUGUGGAGGAAUACCGAUGGCGAAGGCAGCCUCCUGGGGUAACACUGACGUUCAUGCUCGAAAGCGUGGGUAGCAAACAGGAUUAGAUACCCUGGUAGUCCACGCCCUAAACGAUGUCAAUUAGCUGUUGGGCAACUUGAUUGUUCAGUAGCGUAGCUAACGCGUGAAAUUGACCGCCUGGGGAGUACGGUCGCAAGAUUA